AUAUUUACCUAGUAGAGAGGCUAUCAUGAUUGAGAAGAAGUUUUUCUAGGGAGAGUUUUAUCAAUUGGACUCCAAAUAUAAAUGCCCAUUUAUUUCUCUCAAGUGCAGUAAAUUUGAUCUGCUAAUUUGUGGUAGGAAGAACAUUGUCCACUCUCUUCU
This 159-nucleotide small nuclear RNA is filed under the name Meriones unguiculatus (Mongolian gerbil). RNAcentral describes it as "U1 spliceosomal RNA (ENSMUGG00000017534.1)". It matches the Rfam family "U1 spliceosomal RNA". Rfam says of the family: U1 is a small nuclear RNA (snRNA) component of the spliceosome (involved in pre-mRNA splicing). Its 5' end forms complementary base pairs with the 5' splice junction, thus defining the 5' donor site of an intron. There are significant differences in sequence and secondary structure between metazoan and yeast U1 snRNAs, the latter being much longer (568 nucleotides as compared to 164 nucleotides in human). The record is from RNAcentral. Lineage: Eukaryota; Metazoa; Chordata; Mammalia; Rodentia; Muridae.